CCAAUAGCGUAUAUUAAAGUUGCUGCAGUUAAAAAGCUCGUAGUUGAAUUUCGGGACCAUCAUGUCGGUCGUGCCUCGGUACGUACUGGCAUUGUUGGUUUCUCCCUUCUGACGAACCAUGAUGUCAUUUAUUUGGUGUUGUGGGAAAUCAGGACUGUUACUUUGAAAAAAUUAGAGUGUUUAAAGCAGGCUCACGCUUGAAUACAUUAGCAUGGAACAAUGAAAUAGGACGUUUGAUUCUAUUUUGUUGGUUUCUAGGAUCGACGUAAUGAUUAAUAGGGAUAGUUGGGGGCAUUAGUAUUCAAUUGUCAGAGGUGAAAUUCUUGGAUUUAUUGAAGACUAACUACUGCGAAAGCAUUUGCCAAGGAUGUUUUCAUUAAUCAAGAACGAAAGUUAGGGGAUCGAAGACGAUCAGAUACCGUCGUAGUCUUAACCAUAAACUAUGCCGACUAGGGAUCGGAUGAUGUUAAUUUUUUAGUGACUCAUUCGGCGCCUUACG
This 499-nucleotide ribosomal RNA is filed under the name uncultured Glomeromycotina. RNAcentral describes it as "partial small subunit ribosomal RNA". It matches the Rfam family "Eukaryotic small subunit ribosomal RNA", at positions 591 to 1092 of the family's 1831-position model. Lineage: Eukaryota; Fungi; Glomeromycota. The record is from RNAcentral.